UACGGAGGGGGCAAGCGUUAUUCGGAAUUAUUGGGCGUAAAGGGCGCGUAGGCGGCUAGAUGUGUCAAAGGUGAAAUCCCUCGGCUCAACUGAGGAACUGCCUUUGAAACUGUCUGGCUUGAGGCCGGGAGAGGGUAGCGGAAUUCCCAGUGUAGCGGUGAAAUUCGUAGAUAUCGGGAGGAACACCAGUGGCGAAGGCGGCGAUCUGGGAAGAUACUGACGCUGAGGUGCGAAAGCGUGGGGAGCGAACGGG
Molecule: ribosomal RNA, 253 nt
Filed under: uncultured bacterium
Lineage: Bacteria
Description: partial 16S ribosomal RNA
Rfam family: Bacterial small subunit ribosomal RNA
Source: RNAcentral